AUUGAACGCUGGCGGCAGGCCUAACACAUGCAAGUCGAGCGGAGCGGCGGACGGGUGAGUAAUGCCUAGGAAUCUGCCUGGUAGUGGGGGAUAACGUCCGGAAACGGGCGCUAAUACCGCAUACUAUCAGAUGAGCCUAGGUCGGAUUAGCUAGUGGGUGGGGUAAAGGCCUACCAAGGCGACGAUCGGUAACUGGUCUGAGAGGAUGAUCAGUCACACUGGAAUGGAGUAACGUCACAGACUCGUACGGGAGGCAGCAGUGGGGAAGAUUGCACAAGGGGCGCAAGCCUGAUGCAGCCAUGCCGCGUGUAUGAAGAAGGCCUUCGUGUUGUAAAGCACUUUCAGCGGGGAGGCGUUACCCGCAGAAGAAGCACCGUCUAACUCCGUGCCAGCAGACGCGGUAAUAC
Molecule: ribosomal RNA, 407 nt
Filed under: uncultured bacterium
Lineage: Bacteria
Description: partial 16S ribosomal RNA
Rfam family: Bacterial small subunit ribosomal RNA
Source: RNAcentral